This 422-nucleotide ribosomal RNA is filed under the name uncultured delta proteobacterium. RNAcentral's name for it is "bacterial SSU rRNA". It matches the Rfam family "Bacterial small subunit ribosomal RNA", at positions 33 to 489 of the family's 1533-position model. Lineage: Bacteria; Deltaproteobacteria. The record is from RNAcentral.
ACACCGGCGGUGCUCAUAACGCAGUUAACGUGAAGACUUCGGGUCAGUAAGUGGCGCACGGGUGAGUAACGCGUAAUAUCUGCCCCGCUGUCUGGGAUACCUUCGAAAGGGAGGCUAAUACCGGAUAACACGAUUUCUUUUAAGGGGAGUCGUUGAAAGUUGCGGCGCAACGGGAUGAGUCUGCGUCCCAUUAGCUAGUUGGUGGGGUAAAGGCCUACCAAGGCGACGAUGGGUAGCGGGUUUGAGAGGACGAUCCGCCACACUGGAACUGAGACACGGUCCAGACUCCUACGGGAGGCAGCAGUAGGGAAUUUUGCGCAAUGGGCGAAAGCCUGACGCAGCAAUGCCGCGUGAGUGAAGAAGGCCCUCGGGUCGUAAAGCUCUUUAUCUUCGGGAAGAUGAUGACGGUACCGGAGGAAGAA